GGCAUGAUGGCAGAGUGGUCUAAUGCGAUAGACUAGAAAUCUAUUCUCUUCGGAGGCGUAGGUUCAAAUCCUACUCAUGUCG
Molecule: transfer RNA, 82 nt
Organism: Microdochium bolleyi
Lineage: Eukaryota; Fungi; Ascomycota; Sordariomycetes; Xylariales; Microdochiaceae
Rfam family: tRNA
About the family: Transfer RNA (tRNA) molecules are approximately 80 nucleotides in length.
Source: Rfam